GUAAAAGUGUGUAGAAGCACAAUUACUACAGCCCCUUUACCAAUGACAGCACGACUGCAAAUACCAGAGCUUUCUACAUUAGAGAACAUGAAAAACCCCAAAAAGAUCCCUAAAUAUAACAGGUUCCUAACGCCGAUAGCUUUCGAAACCCCAAAGUUAACUACAGAUGCGACUUUACCAGCAGAACAGACAUUUAGGCCCCGCCGAUCCUGCCAACUAUAUACACCUUUAUACCAGCAUAGUAUGCUGAGUGCUGCCUGUACCCAAAUGUGCUCAUCCAUAAGUUUGUUUGUCGGAUAAUGUGGCGAAUGAUAGUAAAAUACUUCAAGAGUCCAACCCACUGUUAGUUAAAGCCAUCAGACAUUAUCACCAAUGAACUGACGAUCGUUCGAGGGCUAUCUGUUUUUGAAAACAGUAUACCUUGACAACGUACUGUAUACUUCUUUGGUGCUAUACACUUAUAUCACACAGAAUGCUUCUCGACAACAUCUAUAUUGGAACUAAUCCAAAUUAAUCUCUUAUGAACCCCCAGCAAGUAACAGUUGCCAAAUAUGAGGAGACCUACUUAACAACUGUCAUGUGCCACCCGUUCAAUCAACAUGUCAUUACCUUACAUUUACAAAUGGAGAUCUGGAAUCUAUACCAUGCCUUGCAAGAUAUACAUUGACACUGAUAUUGCCCACAUCUUACCUCAAGCAGUCUUCAAUCUGACCCAAGAAAAGUGUGCAUCUUGUCCAUUUUCCUGAAAAAGCUCGCAUUGAAAUUAACUCAUACCAAAAUGUUCAUCAAAUUUAAAAGCAGAACCAAUCAAGAUGUGUUACACUGUAGUAUUGUAUGAGUAAUCGGUCGGUGCAUUGACUAGAAUUUUAAGUUACCGUAUUUGAAUUACUGGAAGUAUGCGCGUGCAUUGAUAUUUUUAUGAAAUGCGUGAACUACGCCCCUGUAAACAGAGCAUAUUAUUUUCAGGACUUAUUAAAUCACUGUUUUUUUUAAAAAAAAAACAUCAGACAAUGUCGAAAAAUUAAAAUAUAAAACAUAAGACAAUGUCGAAAAUUUGCGAUGAAAAUUGUAACGAUCUGCAGUACUUAUACAAUAUCUUUCUAAUGUGGCCAAACUUCGCUUUCGCGGUUUCCAUCAAUUUUUGUUUGUGUUUUUAUUGUUUGGUAAAAGUAAAACUCCCGCCCCAAAAAUCAGAGAAACACCACAAAUUAUAGUCGCCCCGACAAAGCAAACUAAAUCAAACCAAUAUUAAAAAUACAACCCCAAAACAAUUAGAAUUCCUAGUCGAAAUUUCCCACUUAAUUAGACUGCCGAAUUUAGCCUAAAAAUCCGCCCUGUCAUUAAAAGUUAACCCAAAAUUUAAACAAAUCCCAAACAUAGCCCCGUCAACAUUAAAAUACUUACCGCAAUUAAUCCACCAACAAAUUAUGUCCCCAAACAAAACCGACAACCAUGGAAAACGGCUUCACAAACCCUGGACAGUCAGCUGGACUACAAAACAACAAGGAAAAAACAAACAAAGAAUAAUUCAGCAACAAUCAAAGAAUGAUAUUGGAGAUAUUGUAGAAAGAAGACAGAUUCAGUGAAAAAUUUGGGACAUGUACAUGUAGAGUGACAGCAUUUUUCUACUUGUUGAUUUGAACAUUUGUAUUUGGAUUCCGUCAAUUGUCCGUCCCUGUGUUGUUUGUAUGUUUCUUUGCAUACCAGCAGAACUACCACCGAAGCUGGUAUUACUAAAAUACCCUGACUUUUCUGGCUACCCCACCAAUCAGAAAACGCUAACACUGUGCAUGUGAUGCGUGUUACUUUCAAUGGAGCGUUGGAUUCGCCCAGUGAACCAAAAACCUGUGAACGAAAAACAGAAAACCUGGAACAUCUCAAAAAGAAUACCACCUUUUAUGCCGAACUUGCGAAAGCUUUGCACACUUCGUGCAAAAACAUAAUUGUCUUCUUGCACGUGAAAAUGCCUCGAAAAUCAUUACAUGGUUAAUACCAUCACCAACCUUGAUAAUGAAGACAUAUUUCUUUCUUCAGAGGCAACAGAGUAAGCUACACCUCGCAUAUUUUGCUUGAUUGUAUAUUUUAGUUUUUGUUCUGCAGAUGAAUAAACCAUUAUACUUCUU
Ciona intestinalis (vase tunicate) is the source of this 2123-nucleotide non-coding RNA. NCBI's taxonomy places the organism in Eukaryota, Metazoa, Chordata, Ascidiacea, Phlebobranchia, Cionidae. The record is from RefSeq and is a predicted model, not a curated record.